GACGAACCGUGCGAACGUUGUUCGGAAUCACUGGGCUUAAAGGGCGAGUAGGCGGGUCAGCAAGUCCGGGGUGAAAUCUUUCGGCUCAACCGGAAAAGUGCCUCGGAUACUGCUGGUCUUGAGGGAGGUAGGGGUUUGUGGAACUUCUGGUGGAGCGGUGAAAUGCGUUGAUAUCAGAAGGAACGCCGGUGGCGAAAGCGACGAACUGGACCUCUUCUGACGCUGAGGCGCGAAAGCUAGGGGAGCAAACGGG
Molecule: ribosomal RNA, 253 nt
Filed under: uncultured bacterium
Lineage: Bacteria
Description: partial 16S ribosomal RNA
Rfam family: Bacterial small subunit ribosomal RNA
Source: RNAcentral